GGGAUCUGAUGGAUCCAUAUUAACUGUCUGCGACUGGGUUAUCCCUGAAUUCGUCAACGCACCUUUCUUGCCAUCUCCAACCCAGACCGAGGAUGCCGCUUCGCCCGAUAUGUCUACCAAUACACUAAAGCGUAAACAUCAUGUUCCUCGUGGGGAAAGACAAGCUAUAUUAGCUCGUCGAAACCAGCUAUUUGAAUCAGCCAUAUCAAGGAAGGUGGGUACUUCGAUUGAGGAUACUAGCGGUGACGCUGUUGAAGGGGACGAUUGGACACAGCGCCAUACGCCUAUGAAGAUCACCAACAAUGGUAAU
Molecule: unclassified non-coding RNA, 310 nt
Filed under: Zea mays
Lineage: Eukaryota; Viridiplantae; Streptophyta; Magnoliopsida; Poales; Poaceae
Description: misc RNA Zm00001eb101590
Source: RNAcentral